AUGACAUCCAUUCGAGCUGUAUUUAUAUUCCUGUGGCUGCAGCUGGACUUGGUGAAUGGAGAGAAUGUGGAGCAGCAUCCUUCAACCCUGAGUGUCCAGGAGGGAGACAGCGCUGUUAUCAAGUGUACUUAUUCAGACAGUGCCUCAAACUACUUCCCUUGGUAUAAGCAAGAACUUGGAAAAGGACCUCAGCUUAUUAUAGACAUUCGUUCAAAUGUGGGCGAAAAGAAAGACCAACGAAUUGCUGUUACAUUGAACAAGACAGCCAAACAUUUCUCCCUGCACAUCACAGAGACCCAACCUGAAGACUCGGCUGUCUACUUCUGUGCAGCAAGUA
Molecule: non-coding RNA, 337 nt
Organism: Homo sapiens (human)
Lineage: Eukaryota; Metazoa; Chordata; Mammalia; Primates; Hominidae
Source: the annotation of a RefSeq genome assembly